UUAAUUAUAGUUAAAUAGUAUUGUGAAAGAAAAUUGAAAUAAUUUGAAAAAUUAAUAUUUUAAAAGAAAAUUUAAUUUAUUGUACCUUGUGUAUCAGGGUUUAUUAAUUAAAAAUUAUUUACUAUAAUUUUCUCGAUUUUAAAAGAGUUAAUAUAUUAUAAAAGUUAAUGUGACAAAAUUAUUUUAUAUAGUAUAUUAGAAAUGAAAUGUUAUUCGUUUUUAAAGGUAUCUAGUUCUUUAAGAAAUAAAUUUAAUUUAGAAAUAUUAUAUUAUUUAGUUAAAUGUAUUAAUUAAAUAAUUAUUUUAUUUUAAUAUUUUAUGGGAUAAGCUGUGAAAUAAAUUAUUAAAAAUUUUUAAAUAGUUUAAUAAAUAUAAGCUUAGAAAUAGUUAUUAUUAAUGAAAUUGUUAUAAUUUAUUUUAUAAUAUUUAUUAUUUAUUAAAUUUUAAUUAUGUAUUAGAGUAUUUAUUUUAAUUUAAAAAAUAAAAAAAUAAUGAUAAAAUUAGUAUAUUAUGAUGUAUAAAUAUGUGAAAUUGAUAAGUUUUUAUAAAGAACUCGGCAAAAAUAAUGUU
RNAcentral lists this ribosomal RNA (570 nucleotides) under Sarcophaga highlandica. RNAcentral's name for it is "partial 16S ribosomal RNA". Lineage: Eukaryota; Metazoa; Arthropoda; Insecta; Diptera; Sarcophagidae. The record is from RNAcentral.